This 1570-nucleotide long non-coding RNA is filed under the name Anas platyrhynchos platyrhynchos (common mallard). RNAcentral's name for it is "lncRNA (ENSAPLG00000023054.1)". Lineage: Eukaryota; Metazoa; Chordata; Aves; Anseriformes; Anatidae. The record is from RNAcentral.
GUGCUACUCCAAAGCUAUAUUUCAUUUGACGGAUGGUAACAUAUUUUAAAGUGUUUGAUUAUCUUCUAGUGAGAGAUGAUGUAAAGUGCAAAGUGUCGUUGUUAUACUGAAUGUGAAAUAAAAAUAAAGGGUAUUCCUUUACUUUUUCCUUAGAGGAAGCAGGGAGAAGAGAGGUAUUCUCCAAGACAGGCAUCUUUAUGUUAAAAAUAACUUGUAAAGUAGAAAUGUAAUGACAAACUCUAGAAGUAUAACAAAACAAAAUUCCUUUCCAUGUCUCCCAGUAGAAUAUGUAUUAUUAUUUUUUUUAACUUAAUUGAGUUAAUCCUUGUUUGUUUACCUUCUUGAUUAUAUUAACCAGCAAGGUAGUGAUUAAAGGCAGGAGUGUAGCUCAUGCUAAUUACCCUUAAACCCUCCCCCCGAACCUGUUUCUUUUUAGUGAGAGAUGAUUACAAUAAACACACCUGCACUAUUUUACAAGGAGGCUUGGCCCUGGCUGGGCUUUCUAAGCUGCUGGGAAAAGCCAGAACCCAACCCUACUCACAAGAGAGCUCACGCAAAGCUCUUAUGUUGGAUAUGGGUGUAUGGUGGCUGAGCAAGGAGAGAAUUGGGGAGUGUGCUUUCCCAAUGCUACUGUACCCACCAGCUUGCUUCAGAAGAGCCAUUAACCAAGUUUUCUAGGUUGGAACAAAGAGCAAACAAGCAAACUUUGGUUUGCACUAGGAAAGUGGGGCACAUCUUGCGUUGGAAGCAUUUAGCAGAGCCUUCCCGAUUGUUCUUGGAGCGACAUCAGGUAGCUGGCACAUCCUUAAAAAAAUCACAAAUCAGAAGGGAGAAGUGGUUUUGUGAAAAAUGCCAAAAGCUAGCUGCUGUCUUUGUGUGAUCAAUCAGGAUGAAUUAUAUGUGUGAGGGGCAUAGAGGAGAUGGUUCCCAAGUGCUAGCAGUCAUAGGCUAUUUGUAGCCAAAAUUGUUUGAACUCAGACGUCCCAAAGUCGUCAUAUAGGGAGGUAGACAUGAGAAGUUUUGGAAAGAAAUUCUGUCUCUCACCUCCUGGAAAGCUUGCCUUUCAUGUUCUCUGUGCUCUACAUCACUGACAACUUUUACACGUAUUGCUCUGGACAUCUUCAGCCAAACAAAAGGCUACAGUGAAUGGUGCUUAGCUUAUUCUUGUGAUCAGGGAUGGGUUUUCCCAUGCACUGGAAAUGUAGUUUGGACAUUGCUCUCACUCAAUGGAACAGCAAUCUCAAAAUGUUAGUGUGAUUGUAAUGACACUGAUUUUUAAUGGUUGUUUUUUGUUGUUGUUGUUGUUUUGUUUGUUGUUGUUGUUGUUUUUCCACUUUCAGACAAGAGUAGUACAUAAGUGUGUGAGAAACCAGAAGAAAGAGAAGCAGAAGGCCCUAAACAACAACAAGUUAACACCAUGAGAGUCUGGAUGCUGGACAUGCAGAAAGAAAGUGAUCAGUGACAGUCAAUGAAGUGGUAAGUGCCAUGCUUUUGCUUGCAGUACUGAGAAUUUAACAGCUGGUACCCAGCAGUUGGGUCAUCAGAUUAGCAAUACACUGCCUUCAGAGAU